Molecule: ribosomal RNA, 436 nt
Filed under: uncultured bacterium
Lineage: Bacteria
Description: bacterial SSU rRNA
Rfam family: Bacterial small subunit ribosomal RNA
Source: RNAcentral
UGAACGCGAAGAACCUUACCUGGUCUUGACAUCCACAGAACUUUCCAGAGAUGGAUUGGUGCCUUCGGGAACUGUGAGACAGGUGCUGCAUGGCUGUCGUCAGCUCGUGUUGUGAAAUGUUGGGUUAAGUCCCGCAACGAGCGCAACCCUUAUCCUUUGUUGCCAGCGGUCCGGCCGGGAACUCAAAGGAGACUGCCAGUGAUAAACUGGAGGAAGGUGGGGAUGACGUCAAGUCAUCAUGGCCCUUACGACCAGGGCUACACACGUGCUACAAUGGCGCAUACAAAGAGAAGCGACCUCGCGAGAGCAAGCGGACCCCAUAAAGUGCGUCGUAGUCCGGAUUGGAGUCUGCAACUCGACUCCAUGAAGUCGGAAUCGCUAGUAAUCGUGGAUCAGAAUGCCACGGUGAAUACGUUCCCGGGUCUUGUACACACCG